GAUCCUGGCUCAGGAUGAACGCUGGCGGCGUGCCUAAUACAUGCAAGUCGAGCGAACGGACGAGAAGCUUGCUUCUCUGAUGUUAGCGGCGGACGGGUGAGUAACACGUGGAUAACCUACCUAUAAGACUGGGAUAACUUCGGGAAACCGGAGCUAAUACCGGAUAAUAUUUUGAACCGCAUGGUUCAAAAGUGAAAGACGGUCUUGCUGUCACUUAUAGAUGGAUCCGCGCUGCAUUAGCUAGUUGGUAAGGUAACGGCUUACCAAGGCAACGAUGCAUAGCCGACCUGAGAGGGUGAUCGGCCACACUGGAACUGAGACACGGUCCAGACUCCUACGGGAGGCAGCAGUAGGGAAUCUUCCGCAAUGGGCGAAAGCCUGACGGAGCAACGCCGCGUGAGUGAUGAAGGUCUUCGGAUCGUAAAACUCUGUUAUUAGGGAAGAACAUAUGUGUAAGUAACUGUGCACAUCUUGACGGUACCUAAUCAGAAAGCCACGGCUAACUACGUGCCAGCAGCCGCGGUAAUACGUAGGUGGCAAGCGUUAUCCGGAAUUAUUGGGCGUAAAGCGCGCGUAGGCGGUUUUUUAAGUCUGAUGUGAAAGCCCACGGCUCAACCGUGGAGGGUCAUUGGAAACUGGAAAACUUGAGUGCAGAAGAGGAAAGUGGAAUUCCAUGUGUAGCGGUGAAAUGCGCAGAGAUAUGGAGGAACACCAGUGGCGAAGGCGACUUUCUGGUCUGUAACUGACGCUGAUGUGCGAAAGCGUGGGGAUCAAACAGGAUUAGAUACCCUGGUAGUCCACGCCGUAAACGAUGAGUGCUAAGUGUUAGGGGGUUUCCGCCCCUUAGUGCUGCAGCUAACGCAUUAAGCACUCCGCCUGGGGAGUACGACCGCAAGGUUGAAACUCAAAGGAAUUGACGGGGACCCGCACAAGCGGUGGAGCAUGUGGUUUAAUUCGAAGCAACGCGAAGAACCUUACCAAAUCUUGACAUCCUUUGACAACUCUAGAGAUAGAGCCUUCCCCUUCGGGGGACAAAGUGACAGGUGGUGCAUGGUUGUCGUCAGCUCGUGUCGUGAGAUGUUGGGUUAAGUCCCGCAACGAGCGCAACCCUUAAGCUUAGUUGCCAUCAUUAAGUUGGGCACUCUAAGUUGACUGCCGGUGACAAACCGGAGGAAGGUGGGGAUGACGUCAAAUCAUCAUGCCCCUUAUGAUUUGGGCUACACACGUGCUACAAUGGACAAUACAAAGGGCAGCGAAACCGCGAGGUCAAGCAAAUCCCAUAAAGUUGUUCUCAGUUCGGAUUGUAGUCUGCAACUCGACUACAUGAAGCUGGAAUCGCUAGUAAUCGUAGAUCAGCAUGCUACGGUGAAUACGUUCCCGGGUCUUGUACACACCGCCCGUCACACCACGAGAGUUUGUAACACCCGAAGCCGGUGGAGUAACCUUUUAGGAGCUAGCCGUCGAAGGUGGGACAAAUGAUUGGGGUGAAGUCGUAACAAGGUAGCCGUAUCGGAAGGUGCGGCUGGAUCACCUCCUUU
This 1538-nucleotide ribosomal RNA is filed under the name Staphylococcus aureus. RNAcentral describes it as "partial 16S ribosomal RNA". It matches the Rfam family "Bacterial small subunit ribosomal RNA". Lineage: Bacteria; Bacillati; Bacillota; Bacilli; Caryophanales; Staphylococcaceae. The record is from RNAcentral.